This 37-nucleotide small RNA is filed under the name Arabidopsis thaliana (thale cress). Its description in RNAcentral is "ATSL227960". Lineage: Eukaryota; Viridiplantae; Streptophyta; Magnoliopsida; Brassicales; Brassicaceae. The record is from RNAcentral.
AUUUUAGUAAAAAAUCGCAAAAUAUUCAUCAUCUACU